Molecule: ribosomal RNA, 314 nt
Filed under: uncultured bacterium
Lineage: Bacteria
Description: bacterial SSU rRNA
Rfam family: Bacterial small subunit ribosomal RNA
Source: RNAcentral
GACGAACGCUGGCGGCGUGCCUAAUACAUGCAAGUCGAGCGAAUGACGAGAAGCUUGCUUCUCUGAUUUAGCGGCGGACGGGUGAGUAACACGUGGGCAACCUGCCCUGUAGACUGGGAUAACUUCGGGAAACCGGAGCUAAUACCGGAUAAUUCUUUUAGCCUCAUGGCUUUAAGCUAAAAGGCGCUUCGGCGUCACUACAGGAUGGGCCCGCGGUGCAUUAGCUAGUUGGUGGGGUAACGGCCUACCAAGGCAACGAUGCAUAGCCGACCUGAGAGGGUGAUCGGCCACAUUGGGACUGAGACACGGCCCAA